GGGGGAGAAUGGGCAUCCCACCCCAGCACUUUCUAGGAAGAAGGGCAACAUUUUGAAGGGCUGGAAGUAGAGAAAGAAGGUUGCGGGUAGAAGACUCCAUACUUUCUGUGACGCCUAUUCCUUAGCUUGUGAUGAAUGUUUUCUCAGUAUCCUAUGCUGAAAACAGGUAGAUACUAAUCCCUCCUUCAAGGGAGGGCUGUUGAGUAUUGAAUAAGAUAAAAACAUGGAAGCAAUCAGCACAAUGCUGGAAUCAAGCCUAUCUGUAAUCACAGGGCUAUUUGAAAAAGAGAAGAAAAGGUGUCUUGAAAUUAAACCAACAUGUUUCAAUUAUUUGCUCCUAAGAACAACAGAAGUUUCAACAUUCUGCCAACACAGUAACUCCUGGGAGAUUGGCACAGAAGAAGGCACAAGGAGAGCUUUUAUAUAACCAAAGAUAUUUUUGGACCAUGAAUUCGGAAAUUCUCGGAGCCACCCAUCAAUGCCUGAGCUUCAGUGAGUCCAUAUCCCAUGUCACCUACGGCAAAGGAGAAUCUGAGACUUCUGAAGAGUUUCUUGCUUCUUUCCUGUGGGGCAGUGACUCCACUUCCCAGCAGUAAUGGAAUAUCCUGAAUUAGCUACAUUAAUGUUAGAACCAUUUGGACCUCACCCAGGACUUCAACUACAUUGUGGUUCUAGUAUGUUAGGUUUAUGUUCCCCUGCUUUCUACAAUCCUGUUCAAAGAGUUGCUGACUUAACCACAGAGAGAAUUCCAGAACAUGAGACACAGAAUAAACUUGAACAAUCAUAGUCCAUCCACUUCAUUUUCUCAUCGAAAACCAAAGGUCCAGUGAGGCUCUGGAACUCGACGCUGUAAAGGAGCGAAGGAGCAUCUAUACAGAACCUGGAUGCCUGUCUCCUUAUCCUACUUCAGCGGACUUGACUGCAAUCCGGAUUAUGCUGUUUUCUAAGCAUUUAAAAUAAAAUAAAAAGUGUAAUAGUGUGAUAAGUUCUUUCACAAAGCAAGUAAUCACAUUUAUGUUUCAACUUACACUUGGGUUUUCCAAAUAUGUGUGUGUGUGUGUGUGUGUGUGUGCAACUUUAAACAUGGUGAAUCCAUCAUGUUGCACUAAAUCAAAACCACCAAAUAAUGACAUAGAAUCAAUAAAUCAAAACCAUCAAAUAAUGACAUAGGAAUCCAAUUCUCCCACCUCACACCCAUUAAGAGGGUGU
This 1209-nucleotide non-coding RNA is filed under the name Pongo abelii (Sumatran orangutan). Lineage: Eukaryota; Metazoa; Chordata; Mammalia; Primates; Hominidae. The record is from RNAcentral.